This is a non-coding RNA of Loxodonta africana (African savanna elephant), 47 nucleotides long. The record is from Rfam. Lineage: Eukaryota; Metazoa; Chordata; Mammalia; Proboscidea; Elephantidae.
ACAAAGGCCCUUUUUAGGGCCCCCAACCUUUCAUUCGAGGGAGCUGU